UUAUAACACCUUGAAAAGGAAUCAAAUCAACAUCAAUCCAAUAUUUUAUAAUCUUUCAUAUUUAUUCUCACUCAGUGUGAUGAAAGGUUUGGAUGACCACAGAUUUUAUAUCCUAGCAGAUCACAGAUCAUGUAUCGAAUCGAUACAUGUAAAACUUCCCUUCGAGUCAAACGCACGGUACGUUGUCAACUAUUAAAGUACAUUUGUUGUUUCGCAAAUUUCUCCAUUGUGGGACAAAUAAAGGUGUUCUUAUCUUCUUAUCUUAACUUUCAUGUGCAGCACAUUUGCAUGAAAGCAUUAAUUGAGGACGUUCAUUUAUUUAGGUUCCUACAUUUCAGCGCCCCGUGAAUCAAGCGCGGCGCAUACCCUUUCAAUGAGAAGGGUCCAGCUGCAGACCCGGAGGAGGCCGAUUCAGGCAAAGGUAGGUUUAGGCAAGUAACUUUGCGCCGGAUAUGACGUCAGAAGGAUGAUGCCCGAUUCCAAAGUAAGUCGCAUGUGGAUCUUAAAAAGUUUAAAAGGCCCUGUAAUUAUGCAUGUCACAAUACAACGAGGGACAUCUGUCCCUGAGCUGCAAAAAUGCAACACAUGUUGCAGUAUGUACCACUGUCCAUUCUGCCAGCCCGCAUGAAAGCAUUUAGCCCAAAA
Molecule: long non-coding RNA, 645 nt
Organism: Hippocampus comes (tiger tail seahorse)
Lineage: Eukaryota; Metazoa; Chordata; Actinopteri; Syngnathiformes; Syngnathidae
Exons: 4
Source: RefSeq, a predicted model, not a curated record